GGUUACAGCUCAGUGGUAAAGUGCUUGCCUAGUAUGAGUAAGGUGCUGGGUUCAAUUCUCAGAACCA
This 67-nucleotide transfer RNA is filed under the name Marmota monax (woodchuck). RNAcentral describes it as "tRNA.Thr". The record is from RNAcentral. Lineage: Eukaryota; Metazoa; Chordata; Mammalia; Rodentia; Sciuridae.